GUCGUAACAAGGUUUCCGUAGGUGAACCUGCGGAAGGAUCAUUAUCGAAUAAAUCUGGCAUGGUUGUAGCUGGCUCUUAGGAGCAUGUGCACACCUGUCACCUUUAUCUUUCCACCUGUGCACCCUUUGUAGUCCCAGGAUACUCUCGCGCACUCUUGUGUUGCGGAUGCGAAGGUUGUCGUGCCUCUUUUGGCCGGCUUCCAUCGAAUUUCCUGGGUCUAUGUCUCUUACACACCCCUGUAUGUUAAUACGAAUGUUGAUUUCAAAUGGCUUCGGCCUAUAGAAACUCAAUACAACUUUCAGCAACGGAUCUCUUGGCUCUCGCAUCGAUGAAGAACGCAGCGAAAUGCGAUAAGUAAUGUGAAUUGCAGAAUUCAGUGAAUCAUCGAAUCUUUGAACGCACCUUGCGCUCCUUGGUAUUCCGAGGAGCAUGCCUGUUUGAGUGUCAUUAAAUUCUCAACCUCACCUGGUUUUCGAACUUGUGUGAUGGCUUGGACUUGGGAGUCUUGCAGGCUGCAGUUUACUGCGGCUCUGCUCUCCUUAAAUGUAUUAGCAGGUCUUUUACCUCUAUCCCAACGGUGUGAUAAUCUAUCUACGCUGCUGGUUUGGAGACCCUUUAUUGGGGGACUGGCUUCUAACCGUCUGCAAAGACAAAUGACUUAUCUUGACCUCAAAUCAGGUAGGACUACCCGCUGAACUAAG
RNAcentral lists this ribosomal RNA (702 nucleotides) under Parasola hercules. Its description in RNAcentral is "eukaryotic LSU rRNA". The stretch from base 295 to 448 matches the Rfam family "5.8S ribosomal RNA". The record is from RNAcentral. Lineage: Eukaryota; Fungi; Basidiomycota; Agaricomycetes; Agaricales; Psathyrellaceae.